This 249-nucleotide unclassified non-coding RNA is filed under the name Hevea brasiliensis (rubber tree). Lineage: Eukaryota; Viridiplantae; Streptophyta; Magnoliopsida; Malpighiales; Euphorbiaceae. The record is from RNAcentral.
AAAGACCCACAGAAAAGGUCUCAGGUAUUUCUCAAAACAAAAAUGGAUUUCAAAUUUUGUGCCAAGUUUAGGAAACUCUCAUAAAAUAAGUUUUUCAGUAUGUGUGAAUGCUAAUAUUGAAAAUGGUUAAGAAGAUGGUCUUUUACUCUUUUUUAAACCCAGACUUGCACAUCACUCACUUGGCUAGAACUUUUUGUGAUACGAAACUUUAUGCUUUUUCUUUUGCAUCAAUGUUUCAUGUGCAAAUAC